CCUACGGGCGGCUGCAGUGAGGAAUAUUGGUCAAUGGGCGCGAGCCUGAACCAGCCAAGUACCGGGAAGGAUAACUGCCCUACGGGUUGUAAACUUCUUUUAUAAAGGAAUAAAGUGAGGCACGGGUGCCUUUUGUUAUGUACUUUAUGAAUAAGGAUCGGCUAACUCCGUGCCAGCAGCCGCGGUAAUACGGAGGAUCCGAGCUUUAUCCGGAUUUAUUGGGUGUAAAGGGAGCGUAGAUGGGUUGUUAAGUCAGUUGGGAAAGUUUGCGGCGCAACCGUAAAAUUGCAAUUGAUACUGGCAGCCUUGAGUACAGUUGAGGUAGGCGGAAUUCGUGGUGUAGCGGUGAAAUGCUUAGAUAUCACGAAGAACUCCGAUUGCGAAGGCAGCCUACUAAACUGCCACUGACAUUGAUGCUCGAAAGUGUGGGUAUCAAACAGGAUUAGAUACCCCUGUAGUC
RNAcentral lists this ribosomal RNA (460 nucleotides) under uncultured bacterium. RNAcentral's name for it is "partial 16S ribosomal RNA". It matches the Rfam family "Bacterial small subunit ribosomal RNA", at positions 338 to 795 of the family's 1533-position model. The record is from RNAcentral.